RNAcentral lists this ribosomal RNA (486 nucleotides) under uncultured eukaryote. RNAcentral's name for it is "SSU rRNA". It matches the Rfam family "Eukaryotic small subunit ribosomal RNA", at positions 619 to 1122 of the family's 1831-position model. The record is from RNAcentral.
UUAAAAAGCUCGUAGUUGGAUUUCUGGGAAGGCGCCAAUGCUAGCUUCUUGCUUUCGCAACGGCACCUUUCCAUCCUUCUGUUAGCGCCUCUUGGCAUUCAUUUGCUGGUGGCGGGCUCAGAUAUUUUACCUUGAGAAAAUUAGAGUGUUUCAGGCAGGCUACGCCGGAAUACAUUAGCAUGGAAUAAUGGAAUAGGACUGAGGUCUCUUUGUUGGUUUGAGGGACUCCAGUAAUGAUUAAUAGGGACAGUUGGGGGCAUUAGUAUUUAUUAGUCAGAGGUGGAAUUCUAUGAUUUGAUAAAGACUAACUUAUGCGAAAGCAUUUGCCAAGGAUGUUUUCAUUAAUCAAGAACGAAAGUUAGGGGAUCAAAGACGAUCGAUACCGUCCUAGUCUUAACCAUAAACUAUGCCGACUCGGGAUUGGGAGUGAGAACUAUCCGCUCUCAGCACCGUACGAGAAAUCAAAGUCUUUGGGUUCUGGGGGGG